GAUGAACGCUGGCGGCGUGCCUAAUACAUGCAAGUCGAGCGAACGGACGAGAAGCUUGCUUCUCUGAUGUUAGCGGCGGACGGGUGAGUAACACGUGGAUCACCUACCUAUAAGACUGGGAUAACUUCGGGAAACCGGAGCUAAUACCGGAUAAUAUUUUGAACCGCAUGGUUCAAAAGUGAAAGACGGUCUUGCUGUCACUUAUAGAUGGAUCCGCGCUGCAUUAGCUAGUUGGUAAGGUAACGGCUUACCAAGGCAACGAUGCAUAGCCGACCUGAGAGGGUGAUCCGCCACAAUGGAACUGAGACACGGUCCAAACUCCUAAGGGAGGCAGCAGUAGGGAAUCUUCCGCAAUGGGCGGAAGCCUGACGGAGCAACGCCGCGUGAGGGAUGAAGGUCUUCGGAUCGUAAAACUCUGUUAUUAGGGAAGAACAUAUGUGUAAGUAACUGUGCACAUCUUGACGGUACCUAAUCGGAAAGCCACGGCUAACUACGUG
RNAcentral lists this ribosomal RNA (497 nucleotides) under uncultured bacterium. RNAcentral describes it as "partial 16S ribosomal RNA". It matches the Rfam family "Bacterial small subunit ribosomal RNA", at positions 28 to 507 of the family's 1533-position model. The record is from RNAcentral.